This 466-nucleotide ribosomal RNA is filed under the name uncultured bacterium. RNAcentral's name for it is "partial 16S ribosomal RNA". It matches the Rfam family "Bacterial small subunit ribosomal RNA", at positions 28 to 507 of the family's 1533-position model. The record is from RNAcentral.
GAUGAACGCUGGCGGCGUGCUUAACACAUGCAAGUCUAACGAUGAAGCCCAGCUUGCUGGGUGGAUUAGUGGCGAACGGGUGAGUAACACGUGAGUAACCUGCCCUUAACUCUGGGAUAAGCCUGGGAAACUGGGUCUAAUACCGGAUAGGAGCGCCUACCGCAUGGUGGGUGUUGGAAAGAUUUAUCGGUUUUGGAUGGACUCGCGGCCUAUCAGCUUGUUGGUGAGGUAAUGGCUCACCAAGGCGACGACGGGUAGCCGGCCUGAGAGGGUGACCGGCCACACUGGGACUGAGACAAGGCACAGACUAAUACGGGAGGCAGGAGUGGGGAAGAUUGCACAAUGGGAGAAAGCCUGAUGCAGCGACGCCGCGUGAGGGAUGACGGCAUUCGGGUUGUAAACCUAUUUCAGUAGGGAAGAAGCGAAAGUGACGGUACCUGCAGAAGAAGCACCGGCUAACUACGUG